CUUGUUAUUUAAAUUGGAGAUACCAAUUACAGUCAGGUCCCUCUCCACCUGAUCUUUACAACGAAGUUGAGCUCUUUCUCUUCCUCUGCUUCCUGCGUUGGGUACCGCAUCAAAUACUUUCAAAGCUGGAGUGUUCUAAUUCCUCGGGACAACAUGACUUAGCCAGCGUAGCCGCUGUCUGAUUCGUUGAACUAGCUCAAUAUUGCUCAUCGUUCCAUCGACUGCGGAUCCCAUAUAGCAGAACGGAAAUGAUGAGGGACUUGUAGUCUUUGUUUGUCGAGAUUUUAGUUUUCGACUUUAGUCUUUCACAAAGUGUGGUCGAUAGGAUCUAAUAAUUGAUAUUGAGGAGGAUAUUGGAGCAGAUUUUGGAACCUCAUAUUUUGUGAAUUAGGCUGAAAACACUUAGCGAAGUGGAAGUCUUCCUCUUCCUCUACUUCCACCAGAUGUUUCUUUAGCAAAAAGUGGUGUGUUUGAGUAGUACCAGCUCUUUUUAGAGGGCCGGGAAGAUAUCGCUGAUGAAGACCGAGCUUGGAUACCUGCGACUUCGACAAACACCGACAAUGUGACUCGUGUGCGCAAAGUUCUGAAAUCAAAAUCUGUGGUUCAUGACAUUGCGACGGAGCACAUGCGCAAGGUGUGCGCGAAUAUAGUCCCAGAAGUGAUCACUGACGAUUAGAAAUUGCGGCGAGUGGAAGUGUGGCAAGAAAACUUGAACAUGUGUGAAAGUGACCCCCAAUUUUCGAAUAAAGUUAUCACAGGUGAUGAGUCAUGGAUCUUUGAAUAUGAUCCCGAGACAAAGAGGCAAGCAUUUUAAGACGACAGUGGGGAUCCAAUCAGCCUCGGCUCUCAAUGCUAUUCCGGAGAAUGCCUUCCGUGACACCUUCAAUGCUUGGAAAUCACGCUGGCAGCGUUGCAUCGAUGCAGAUCGAGAGAAAGAAUUGUAACGAUUGGUUCAAUAAUUUUUUUUAAAUUGACUCAGUCCUAUUACUUUCCGGACAAACCCUGUAACAUCUUUUUUACUACGGGAAGUGUUGAUUUUCUUCUUGCAGUCAAAGAAAUCAGCGGCUGAGGUACAUCAGCCAACUACAAGAACUUUACGAAGGUGUUGCCCAAGUGAAACAACGAGCCGUGAAGGAAGGCUACAAAGCUUCGAAGACAGUGAAUUGGAAACGUUGCUCCAUGAGGGUCCGUGCCAGAUGCAAGAAUAGCUAGCUUCAGUAUUGGGAGUCACCUGCCAAGCCAUUUAAAAGCGCUACAUGCGCUGGAAAUGUUUCAGAAACAAGUGUUCCUUAUGAUUGGAAACCAAGGAACGUUGAGCGUCGCCUAUGAGUCAUUGCUCUAAAGGCAAAAAAAAGAAAGGCCCAACUCCACCAGCUAUAUUCCCUAGAUAUUGCAGCGUCCAAUUAUUAUUUGUUCCGUUCCGUUCGAUGUCACUUGGAAUGAUAUUCGUGCUUUGCCAGAAGGAUGGGAAAAAGUUGUGACUAGUGAUGGACAAUACUUCGAAUUACUCAUUUGUAAGCUUUGGUAUGAUUACGGAGAUUCUGUCUGCUGAAGUGUCAUUUUAAAAAUUAUGGCCGUUCUGAUUCUUUUGAAGGGUAUCACAUAAGAAGUUUACAAAAAAGGAUUCACUUGAGCUUUGGAAUAUAACAUGUAAGAGGUAUUCUUACUCUGUUCCGAACUGUCAAGGAGCUCUUUGAGUUUUUGCAUCAAAAAUAUACUCAGUGAUCCCAUAUUGAUGAUUUGGUGCGUUGUUUGCAAUAAAUAAUUUUAGUUUUGGUAACAGCAAGGAAUCGAGUUGUGGCUCUUUCGGCCUUGACAGUUCCCAUCAACUAAACAUAUCGCAUAAACCCACUAAAGCCUCUUGAAACAGUAAUAAAAUACAUUUGAAAAUUGUAUUAUAAUUAUUAUUUAUUUAUGUAAAAAAUAUUACAUGUUCGUGUUGUUGUUUUAACUGACAAUUGUUAAUACAGAGUUUUAGGGUUUUAGUAAAUAAUAUUGCAUUUAAUAAUUGAUUGUUAUAAGGAAUGAAAACAUGCAAAUAUAUAUUUGUUGGCUUAGUUUCCUUAGUAAUUUUCUUGUUUGAGCUUGGUUCACUACGAAGAUAACAACUUACAGAGAGAAAGAGAGUGCACAUACAUAAAAAAAAUUAGAUUUUAAAAAUAUACUUUAAAGCUUAAAACUUAA
Bactrocera neohumeralis is the source of this 2184-nucleotide long non-coding RNA. RefSeq lists it as uncharacterized. The record is from RefSeq and is a predicted model, not a curated record. NCBI's taxonomy places the organism in Eukaryota, Metazoa, Arthropoda, Insecta, Diptera, Tephritidae. The transcript is spliced from 2 exons.